Acinonyx jubatus (cheetah) is the source of this 3874-nucleotide long non-coding RNA. RefSeq lists it as uncharacterized. The transcript has 3 exons. NCBI's taxonomy places the organism in Eukaryota, Metazoa, Chordata, Mammalia, Carnivora, Felidae. The record is from RefSeq and is a predicted model, not a curated record.
GCUGCUGCUUUCUAAGUUGCAUAAAAAUAAACUCCACUCCAUAAAAGCUGCCACAGUGCGUGCUCUCUCAUCCCUGGGCUCCAGGCGUGAUCUACACCACCACCCCCCCCUGCCUUUUAGGUCAGCCACUCAUGCAUUAGGAAGACAUCCCUCCCAAAAUAACUCGGCCCUCCCCCAAAGCACAGAGUUGAGCAGCCUACCUUUGUUCUGGAGUUGCAGAUAAUAACAGGCAAGCCUCAAGACCAUGAGGAUUUGGAAAAGAUCAGGAGAGUUGAAGAAAAAGAAGAAGGAAAAGAAAUACUCCAAGUAGAGAAGAAUUGGAAGAGACAACAGGAAAACCCUUCUAAUGAACUGUAGUGGCUGCCACAGGAUCGGGGGUGUCUUCACCAGUGUUUACACCAGCCAUGCUGCCAGUAAACUGGGUCUUCGGGGACAUCAGCUCUCCUGGAGAAAGCGCUCUGCUCUACCAACUCUAAUCACCCAAGCCAUCUGGAAAAAGAGUGACAUUAUGGAAGAUUUCUUACACAGUGAACACACGCUAAUUGACAUAUCUUAAGUCCUGGAGAAAAAUCACUUCCUUAAGGGAACUUGAGUAAUCAACGUGUAAUUAGCCAAUUCUCCUGGCAUGGAAGAAGGCUCCCUUGUCACUUGAGAACUUAUCACUAAAGAAAAUUAUUCUUAGUCUUUAGAGGCUCCCUGAAGAAAAACACCAGCCCUUCACACCUACUGUGUGUGAAUUCUGUGCAAGGCUUUUACUAAAGUGAUUUGCUUAUACAACCUCAUCUAGUCUUCCAACAACUCUGUGGGGGAGAUACUAUAAUUUAUCCAAAUUUCUGAGGAGAAGAAACAGAAGCAAAGAGAGGUAAAACAGAAUGUCCCAGGCCAAGAGCUGUUAAUGGAAAACCUGGUCGCACAGUGGGUCAAUGGUUAUAUGCAUGGCCCCGGCUAUAAAACGUGGAUAACUGCAACCAAGUGAUAAACAUUUCAUGUUCUAAGACAUAAUGGAAGAAGCCUGGGCUCAGAGCACAGGACACCCAGUCACAUGAGCUGUGCCUGGUAACCGAAGACAGGAUUCUGUGUCUCAUUCUCAAGAGCUAUGGAUGCUCCCAUUCAGGUGACAGUCACCAUCACAAGUAGGCACAGAUGUCGCUUUAGCGUUGCCUGUCUCCGCACCCUGGAGGAUGGAACGGGGGCAAUGCCUGUAGCACCUCGUGCUUGCUGGGUUCCCCAGUGUUUCAACACCAAACGAACAAAAGAGGUAAAUACACUUCCAGGGAAGUUGUAAAAAAAAAAAAAAGGAAGCACGGGUCAGAAAAAAAUAGCUUUGAAAUACUGGAAGGCAAACUGGCGAAAUGGAUAGGUGCAGCACACCUACGGCGUGGGGGAGAGGGAAAGCAAGGCGGCAUGCAGCUUAGGGUAGUGAAGAACCAUCAGCCAGCCUGACUAUACACUUACUGGCUGUGUGACCCUGAGUAACUAGUUCGACUUCUCUGAGCCUGAAGUUUCCCAUCCAUAAUGUGGAAAUGAGAGAAGGAUCUAACAUUUUGGGUUGCAAUGGAAGUCCAAUAAAAUGGUACAUGUCAAAGUUCUCACCUAGUACACAGUCAGUGCUCACUAACAGUUACCUAUCCUCCCCCUCCACUUGCUCCUCAUCAGUGCUGACUGAUGAUGAAUUGCAGAAUUAUUGCACAGGCCCUAGCCUAGUGCUCGGCAUGCACUUGGUACUCAGUAAGUGCUCGUUCCUUGGUUUUCCCAUCUCUCUUCCCGCCACAAAUAACUCAAAGAUUUAAUUCUGAUAUGAUGCACCUAUCACAAUUUUUAAAAAUCUGAACAAAUUUAUCCCACUAAAAUGGUUCUGGGUUUGAUGCUAUGGUAAAUUCAUAGAUAGACAAAAUAUCUCUGGACAUACGUGUACAUGACAGGUAUGGUAAAUAACAAAGAGAAAACCAUGCAUUUAAAUAUACGUAAAUGAUGGGGUGCCUGGGUGGCUCAGUCGGUUAAAUGUCCGACUUCAGCUCAGGUCAUGAUCUUGCGGUCCGUGAGUUCGAGCCCCGUGUCGGGCUCUGUGCUGACAGCUCAGAGCCUGGAGCCUAUUUCAAAUUCUGUGUCUCCCUCUCUCUGACCCUCCCCCGUUCAUGCUCUGUCUCUCUCUGUCUCAAAAAUAAAUAAACAUUAAAAAAAAUUUUUUUAAAUAAAUAAAUAUACGUAAAUGAACAUAUAUUUUCAAAUAUUAUACAUGCAAAGAUACCCCUACCCAUUUGCUAAAUUCUCUGUGUGAUGAGGCAAGAGUUAAUUUUAAUUUUUAAAAUAUUUCUUAACAGUUCAAAUUUUCUGCUAUAAAAGUAUACUCCUUAUAGAAAUUGGAGGACGACAUAGGUUUUCAAAAGAUAAAAAAGAGAAGAAUGACCCAACUUCUAUCCUCUUGAAUUGGUUUUCCAACAGCUGCUAAUUUGUCAACCAUGUAAAUGGCAACAAAUCUUUAAGAAGUAAGUAAUUUUCUGAACAUUUAACUAACCUAACCUCCAUGCCCUUAAUAAGUUACUGUUCACUAUUUUUCCCUCCUAACUUCCUCUUCUCACCAGGAAUAAAUUCUUCCCCCAAUUUCAACCCUUUCUUUUUUUCAAAAAUAUCUCAGGGGACAUCUUUAACCUCCUCCCACCCCAUUCAUGGUGUGACUAAAGUCUACAGAUGGGUUGGGAACACAAAAAUAAAUAACUUAUUAAGAGUCAUGACCACUGGGCUGGCCUCAUUCAUGGAGGUUUCAUGGACUGGCGUUUGCUGAAAAGUUUUUCCUUUUUGGUUGACUGGCCUCAUAGAGCCCCGUGAAUGCCAGGACUUAUGAUAAGCAACGACAUACUUAACUGUUACAUAUUAAUGUUCAUGAUAAUGCAAUCUUUCAUUUGGGUGAUUUAAAAGUCCCUCUAGUCCGACUUACAGUUAGAUAUACACUGAAUGCUUCAUCAAUCAUAACCAUUUUUAUUCUCCAUCUUGUGCAAAAUACUAGAGAAGGUGAAUUUCAACUACACACUGAAGAGGGCUUUCCUAUUAGCCCUGAAAAAUUUCUCUCUUGUCAUUUAUACAUUGGAUUCCCAGAGUUCCUGCCUAAGCAAUCUGUUCACCUGCACCUUUCACUACAGCAGAUCUUAUCUACAGAGGAAAAGGAAAUCCACGUUCAUAUCUCUUCUACAGGGCCAAAUCUUCCUUAUCUUACAGAGAGAAGAAAGCAUGUCUCAGUUAUGGACUAGACAAAACGCCUGGCAUCUCAACAUGUGAAACGUUUGUGAGCAAGCAGCUUGAGAGGGUCGGGAUGACUCAAAACGAAGGUAAAGCAGGAUUUAGAAAUAAUUCGCACCAAGAACCAAUGAGCCCCCCACCGUCAGCAGUAUGCAGUGAUCACAGAAAAUUCUCAUAAAUGCACUUGAAAGAGACUACACCUCCCUUCCAUUCCUGUAAGGGCUUGUCAUAGUUUCAGGGCCAAAAUCUUCCCGCAGCUGACCUUGGACCUACAAACCAUGAGGCAAACCAAAAUGGAGGAAGGGAUCAAAUCAGUCACCAUGCAACUUGGCAACUCCAAUUACCUUCAAAGUUAGAAACCCAACACCUUUUAUCGUACUGCUACAGCAGUCCCCUAUGCAGCCUGCUGCGCCCUCACGUACGACACACAAAUCAGUGCAACUAUAAACACAUAAAAUCUGUGCCCCAAAAUGCUCUGCUUAGGGUACAGGAGAAUUAAGACUAUCCCUCUGAAAAUUUUUUUUAAUAAGAUCCUAUAUUCAAUAUUUAUAUUUUGAUUUUAUGACCUUUUCACUUUUAUCCUCUUAAAUUCUCCCAUCUUAGCAAUCUCCUUUGAGGCUAAUAAAUUUAUGUUUUUAUU